AGCCCCGAAAAACUUAGAUUGCAAAUCUAAAAGAGUCGGUUAAUUCCCAGCCGGGGCUU
This 59-nucleotide transfer RNA is filed under the name Llanolebias stellifer. Its description in RNAcentral is "tRNA-Cys". The record is from RNAcentral. Lineage: Eukaryota; Metazoa; Chordata; Actinopteri; Cyprinodontiformes; Rivulidae.